GGUAUCUUAUCGAGGAUUGUAUAAAUAGUUUAUAUCUCUUUGAAUUAUUUACAUGUUUUUGUCAAGAUAUGCAAUAAUUCUAUUCCUGGUUGGUACGUUAAUGACUUUCGAUUAUGUAUUUAUUUUAUUUUAGUUAAUAUUUUUAUUAUCCAUCCUUAGAAUACCAUUGAUCUAUGUUGUGAAUAGUUUUGUUAGUAUUUACAUCGUUAUCAAGCUGUAUACAUUAAGUAAUUGAAGCACAUUUUUGGGUAGGGCGAGGGACCCUUCUCUGUACGUUCAUUGUCCCUCUUGUGGGAUGUUUUUGGGCCCCACCUUCUGCUGCAUUCUGAUAUUGUAAAAUCUGUAAUCUCAUUUGGCAUUUGAAAUAAAUGCUCUAUACACACACACACCCUCUUUAUUAUUUAACAUGCUGCAGAACAGAGCUGCAAAUGUGCUUCAGGUUCACAUGAACCGAAUUGUUCAUCAGUUUCAGUAUUUAAGGGCACAUAAGUGUAUUUAUGUAUAUAAAGGAAUUUAUGUGAUCUAAAUACGUAAUAAAUUGCAUAUUUUUAUUAAUUACCAAUUUGUUUGAAUUCAUGGGUCCCGAAGGAUUUUCCGGGUUUUAUACUUAAGCGUCCUCUAGUAACGGCUAUUAGCCUUAUCCUUAUCAGAAUAACAUUUCGGCUCCAAAAUGUGGUUUACAAAUUUUACCCACCACCACCCCUUCAAUCCUCCAUAAUUAUUGUUAUUGUAGAAAAUACAUGUACUAGUUUCUUUUAUAUAAGGUGCCUAUUGUUAUUGCAUGACUUUUGUACUUAUUGUUAAUUUUGUAGAAAAUAUAUGUACUAGUUUUCUUUUGUAUAAGGUGUGGGAUGUUUUUGGGCCCCACCUUCUGCUGCAUUCUGAUAUUGUAAAAUCUGUAAUCUCAUUUGGCAUUUGUAAUAAAUGCUCUAUACACACACA
This is a long non-coding RNA of Saccostrea cuccullata (small rock oyster), 942 nucleotides long. RefSeq lists it as uncharacterized. NCBI's taxonomy places the organism in Eukaryota, Metazoa, Mollusca, Bivalvia, Ostreida, Ostreidae. The record is from RefSeq and is a predicted model, not a curated record. The transcript has 2 exons.